RNAcentral lists this unclassified non-coding RNA (20 nucleotides) under Mus musculus (house mouse). Its description in RNAcentral is "oocyte_clustered_small_RNA6849". The record is from RNAcentral. Lineage: Eukaryota; Metazoa; Chordata; Mammalia; Rodentia; Muridae.
UCUAGUCCCUCUUGGAGGUU